ACGGAACACAGGGGCGUGUACAGAACUGGAAACUCUUAGUCUUGCGUCUUACUACUUUAAAACAGCAUCUCAACAGACCUUAAGCCUUGACACAUCUUUCGAACUAAAACAAGAAACAGAGAAGCAAUGGAUUCUAUCAUUUCGAGUACCCAACGCAUUACCACUGCGGAGGACAUGAGGAACCAAACCGAACUGCUGUCCUACUCUAACUGGGAAAAGUAUUUGACUCCAGCACCAGUAUCCAUAGCUAUCCUGGGAGAGCUGGUAUUCCUCUCCUCCAAGACAGAUUUCUCUAUCAACAAGAAUUCCCCCAUAGGUGGUUUCAAAUACAUCCGAUACCCAGAAUCCUUCCGAGCUUGCCUCAUGCAAGUGUGUAACUCUGGUUGGUGGGCAUUUAACGAAGCCCAUAAAAACAUGGAUCAAAUUCGUCUCCAUACUGCCCGAAUUCCAGAUUACACGAAGACGGCCAUGAAGAUUUUAUUCAAAGACAAUGAUGAGGUCAUUAAUGCACAUCUUCCUGGUCAGCUGAAAAAUAUCCAAAUCAUAUCAGAUGAAUGUCUUAAACUGUCUGUUGAAACAGAAGACCAUUUCAAAACGGUCAUCAAUAUUAUCCAGGAGCUGUUGUUGGCAUGUAUGAAUUCGAAUGCAGUUUAUGGCAAUGAGAUGGAGGAGCUCAGGAGGAAACUAGAAGAGGCCAAAAUGAGGGAGCAGUCAGCACAAGAAAUCAAGAGAAGAACUGAGCAGGCAAUGAGAGACAUUGACAAAGAACUCGAGCGAGCUAGAGGGAACUUCCAGAAAGCGCUGGAUUCUCUUCCAACUGGGUGGAAUUUAGUUGGGAUGGAAAUCGUCGGAGGAAUAUUCCAGAGUAUCAACACAUUGUUAAAUGGACUGACAUCCUUUGUAGCCAACCCAGUGACACGCAUGUGUGGCGUAUCAACACUGGUUGCUGAAACGGUCCAAAACAUUAGAAGUCAGAGUCGCAGUAAUGCGAUUGAUGACAUCAUAUCAUUCAGUAAAUCUGCUGAGAUUCUCGCACUUGUGGUGGCUAUAGAAGAAAAAAUGUUUGUGACUGGCCAAAAUGAGAUUGACUGGAAGAAUCUUUAUGAUCAGAAGGAGAAGUAUACAAAAACUGAUUUCAUAGAACAGCAGUUCAAAAGAAUUCUUGGAGAUUUAGAGGAAGUCUCAGAAUGCCAGGGAAAAUCCCAAGUUCAUGUGGUAUGCAAAAAGGGCAUUAACAUAUGCAGGCAGUUGGCAUGUUAUGCACCAGAAGGCAAAUGUGACAAAAACACAUGCUUGAAGAUAAUUGAGGAGCUCUCAGAAUUAAAAAAAUCUGCUCGUAUUUUUGACAGCAAAAGCAAAGCUUCAACGCAAUCCGCAGCCAUUUCUCCACAACCCCCGAUGAUGUUUAAAAAUGCAAACAGUCAGGAGUGCGUGAAUCCGGCACAGCGGGCAUCAGAAAAUGCACGGUUCCUCAUAGAGCAGAACCGAGCUCAGCUAAACAUGACGAUGGAACUCCGUGAAAAGUGCAUGAAGAUGCAAGAGGAAAACCAUAAAGAUCUAACCAAAGUCCUGAUCACCAUGAGAAACUGUGAACUCAAAGAGAUUGACUUCAAAACCACCAUAGAGAUGCUGGUCAAAGGUAUGGAUGCCAUGGGGAAAUUGCAGCAGAGGUGGCAGAUGAUGGUUCAAUUCUUUCAGAUGGUUUCCAACAUUGUGAAAACCAACCUCAACCCGUGUCUCACAGAUUUUGUCUCAACAUCUGCGGACACCAAAUGCCUCUCCUACAAUGCCAAGCUCAUCUCGAAAGACUUGAUCUACAAGCAAGCCUUCCAAGCCUCUAACAUUGCCAGUCUGGUUCAUAUGAUCUCAGGAACAUACACAGAGGUGUCCAGCAGGUAUCUGAUGGACAGCAUCGGUUCACUGAGUGCUCUAAUGACCAUGGACCAAAGCAGACCAGAAUUUCAGCUGGCGCGUCAUAGGUUUCAGAAUUCCUGUGAGGCGGCAGAGAAAAAUAUCUUAUGGUUUGUUCUGAAGAAAAAAGAGGAGUUUAAAAAUAAGAGCGUUGCAAGACAACAACAGAUUGAGCGAGAGUUGCUGGCCAUUCUGCCCCCUGCUUCUCCAGGGCAAAUGGAGAGAAUUCAAGAGGCUGUUCAAGCUGGAUUCAGUGAGGAUGAAGCAGCAUCUUACUACUGAUGGGGUAUAUUGGAGAAAAAGGUUUUUUUCCCCUGAGUCUCAUGGCUUAAUACAACCAGAUAUAACUAGUUGAUUAAAAGAUUACAGUGCUGGAAGUAUCAAAUAAGUGACUCAGACUUAAGAGUUUUGCUUAGUUUCACAGCUUUAUUAAGGAAGCAUUCGUUUUAUAAAAGACGGCAAAAGCAUGAAGGGUAGAUGUGGGUUGAUUCAGAUAUAAACAUUAACUUUUGUUUAUAAGAAAGAUUUCGUCAGUUACUGAGCGGAAGACAAUGUUCAAGUAAACCACUUGUAAAUGAGGAUGUAUGUGAGAGUUGCAAAACAGGAAAGGCCACUGGGUGUGUGCCGUCUCAAAGAGUACACGAAAGUGAAAGAAUGUAACAGUGGAAAAUUACAGCCACGGUAAAAAAUAAAGAGACCAUUUUAGAUUUUCAUUAAUUCAGCAUUUCUAGAUGUAUUGUGGCCAUUCCAGUCCAGUGUCUGUUGAAUUUCAACAAAAUCAAACCUCAGGAGUCAUCCAACAGCAAUGUGAAAGACUGACAGCAUGACAAGACAAAUGAAAAUGGAUAAAAAUAAAAGUACACAUAAAAUAAAUCACAUACAUUUUUUAACUUUUCCUAAAUACACGUACAAAUAUUACUGCUGUAUUGCUUAAACGUGAAUAUGAACUUGUUUUCUUUGCAGUAUUUGAGGUCUAAAAAAUACAGAGCAUCAUUUCUGUUAUUUUGACCUGUUUCUCCAGUUUUAAUUUUCUGCAAAUAUAAGCAAAUAGAAACAAUAUUUUUUUU
Molecule: RNA transcript, 2978 nt
Organism: Triplophysa rosa
Lineage: Eukaryota; Metazoa; Chordata; Actinopteri; Cypriniformes; Nemacheilidae
Exons: 3
Source: RefSeq, a predicted model, not a curated record